CGGACUCUCACGCUCACUCACACCCGUACCGGCAGGAGCGGGGGACCCACACGCUUCACGCCGUUCCCGGUCCUCCCGGGACGGCUCGGGGUGAAGUCACCGCGCGCACCGCGCCGGUGGCCGGGCAGCUCCAGCCCGAACCCGACAGCUCACCCCGCAGGCGACGGAGAAGGAAUCC
Molecule: small RNA, 178 nt
Filed under: Streptomyces sp.
Lineage: Bacteria; Bacillati; Actinomycetota; Actinomycetes; Kitasatosporales; Streptomycetaceae
Also listed under: 1 other name
Description: c-di-AMP sequence
Rfam family: c-di-AMP riboswitch aptamer (ydaO/yuaA leader)
About the family: This family represents a conserved RNA structure found upstream of the ydaO and yuaA genes in Bacillus subtilis and related genes in other bacteria. The ydaO/yuaA element is thought to act as a genetic "off" switch for the ydaO and yuaA genes in its native state.
Source: RNAcentral